GGAGGGGUGGCAGAGCGGCUGAAUGCACCGGUCUUGAAAACCGGCGAUGGGCGACCAUCCGUGGGUUCAAAUCCACCUCCUCCGCCA
RNAcentral lists this transfer RNA (87 nucleotides) under Aeromonas hydrophila. RNAcentral describes it as "tRNA-Ser". It matches the Rfam family "tRNA". From Rfam's summary of the family: Transfer RNA (tRNA) molecules are approximately 80 nucleotides in length. Their secondary structure includes four short double-helical elements and three loops (D, anti-codon, and T loops). Lineage: Bacteria; Pseudomonadati; Pseudomonadota; Gammaproteobacteria; Aeromonadales; Aeromonadaceae. The record is from RNAcentral.